CCUACGUGUGGCAGCAGUGAGGAAUAUUGGUCAAUGGGCGCGAGCCUGAACCAGCCAAGUAGCGUGAAGGAUGACUGCCCUACGGGUUGUAAACUUCUUUUAUAAAGGAAUAAAGUGAGGCACGUGUGCCUUUUUGUACGUACUUUAUGAAUAAGGAUCGGCUAACUCCGUGCCAGCAGCCGCGGUAAUACGGAGGAUCCGAGCGUUAUCCGGAUUUAUUGGGUUUAAAGGGAGCGUAGAUGGGUUGUUAAGUCAGUUGUGAAAGUUUGCGGCUCAACCGUAAAAUUGCAAUUGAUACUGGCAGUCUUGAGUACAGUUGAGGUAGGCGGAAUUCGUGGUGUAGCGGUGAAAUGCUUAGAUAUCACGAAGAACUCCGAUUGCGAAGGCAGCUUACUAAACUGCCACUGACCUUGAUGCUCGAAAGUGUGGGUAUCAAACAGGAUUAGAUACCCCAGUAGUC
This 460-nucleotide ribosomal RNA is filed under the name uncultured bacterium. Its description in RNAcentral is "partial 16S ribosomal RNA". It matches the Rfam family "Bacterial small subunit ribosomal RNA", at positions 338 to 795 of the family's 1533-position model. The record is from RNAcentral.